GAUGAACGCUGGCGGCGUGCCUAAUACAUGCAAGUCGAGCGAACAGAUGAGGAGCUUGCUCCUCUGACGUUAGCGGCGGACGGGUGAGUAACACGUGGAUAACCUACCUAUAAGACUGGGAGAACUUCGGGAAACCGGAGCUAAUACCGGAUAAUAUAUUGAACGGCAUGGUUCACUAGUGAAAGACGGUUUUGCUGUCACUUAUAGAUGGCUCCGCGCCGCAUUAGCUAGUUGGUAAGGUAACGGCUUACCAAGGCAACGAUGCGUAGCCGACCUGAGAGGGUGAUCGGCCACACUGGAACUGAGACACGGUCCAGACUCCUACGGAAGGCAGCAGUAGGGAAUCUUCCGCAAUGGGCGAAAGCCUGCCGGAGCAACGCCGCGUGAGUGAUGAAGGUCUUCGGACCGUAAAACUCUGUUAUUAGGGAAGAACAAAUGUGUAAGUAACUAUGCACGUCUUGACGGUACCUAAUCAGAAAGCCACGGCUAACUACGUG
RNAcentral lists this ribosomal RNA (497 nucleotides) under uncultured bacterium. RNAcentral describes it as "partial 16S ribosomal RNA". It matches the Rfam family "Bacterial small subunit ribosomal RNA", at positions 28 to 507 of the family's 1533-position model. The record is from RNAcentral.